UAUGUGUGUGUGUGUGUAUAUACAUAUAUAUAUGGUGUACAAAAUGGAAUAUAUAUAUAUAUAUAUAUUUCAAUUAAAAAUCUCCAGCUAGGUCAUCUGAAUCCCUAUGUAUUAAUUAUGGUCUGGGAGCAGAUGAAAGGGUUGGAAAAAUUAAUGUAACAGAGGGAUACUCUAGGGACACCCUUAAGAUUCUACCCUGUGAGAACAGGCACCUAGAUUUACAACUCUAUCAAGUUUACACAAAUUGAAAAGCAGUGAUUCUCUGGGAAAAAAACAACAAAACCUAGAAUUAGAAACGGGCACCGAAAAACAACAAAUAUCAACUACUCCUAGGGAAUACAAUUUGCUCAAGGCAAACUUUUACUGACAAGCACAAAGUUUCCCCUAAUUCAUUUAUUGAAAAUGCUGCAUUCUAAGACAAAACAUAUUUAGCAUGACCUUCAUUUUUUUCUUUUCUCAAGGUGGUAAGAACAAAGUGAUAUGCUACAGAAAAUUCUCCAUACCCUUGAAGGGAGCAACUGCCAUGCUCAUUUUGGCCUUUAUUCUCUGAAGACUGAAAGACUGAAUGAGAAAUGCAUCUGAUCUAAUGCUGAGACAGUCGAAUUUGGGAAUUUGAAAUGCGAUUUACCAGAGAGCAACUUGGGCUUAGCACAUGUUCAUUAAGGAGCACGCAGUCACAGCUAGCUUCCUGUUUGAAGAAAAAGAAAACAGUCCCUUGUUCAAAUAUCAUAAUUCACCAAAAUCUCACCAUGUUUUUCAUUUUUUUCUAUUAUAAAUUUACGUUAAUUGCAUGCUGCUUAAAUGUGGUUUUACAUAUUUACUCUC
RNAcentral lists this long non-coding RNA (825 nucleotides) under Pan paniscus (pygmy chimpanzee). Its description in RNAcentral is "lncRNA (ENSPPAG00000045570.1)". The record is from RNAcentral. Lineage: Eukaryota; Metazoa; Chordata; Mammalia; Primates; Hominidae.